Molecule: ribosomal RNA, 596 nt
Filed under: uncultured bacterium
Lineage: Bacteria
Description: bacterial SSU rRNA
Rfam family: Bacterial small subunit ribosomal RNA
Source: RNAcentral
AAUGCCUAGGAAUCUGCCUGGUAGUGGGGGACAACGUUUCGAAAGGAACGCUAAUACCGCAUACGUCCUGCGGGAGAAAGCAGGGGACCUUCGGGCCUUGCGCUAUCAGAUGAGCCUAGGUCGGAUUAGCUAGUUGGUGAGGUAAUGGCUCACCAAGGCGACGAUCCGUAACUGGUCUGAGAGGAUGAUCAGUCACACUGGAACUGAGACACGGUCCAGACUCCUACGGGAGGCAGCAGUGGGGAAUAUUGGACAAUGGGCGAAAGCCUGAUCCAGCCAUGCCGCGUGUGUGAAGAAGGUCUUCGGAUUGUAAAGCACUUUAAGUUGGGAGGAAGGGCAUUAACCUAAUACGUUAGUGUUUUGACGUUAUCAACAGAAUAAGCACCGGCUAACUCUGUGCCAGCAGCCGCGGUAAUACAGAGGGUGCAAGCGUUAAUCGGAAUUACUGGGCGUAAAGCGCGCGUAGGUGGUUCGUUAAGUUGGAUGUGAAAUCCCCGGGCUCAACCUGGGAACUGCAUCCAAAACUGGCGAGCUAGAGUAGGGCAGAGGGUGGUGGAAUUUCCUGUGUAGCGGUGAAAUGCGUAGAUAUAGGAAGG